This 463-nucleotide ribosomal RNA is filed under the name uncultured bacterium. Its description in RNAcentral is "partial 16S ribosomal RNA". It matches the Rfam family "Bacterial small subunit ribosomal RNA", at positions 28 to 507 of the family's 1533-position model. The record is from RNAcentral.
GAUGAACGCUGACAGAAUGCUUAACACAUGCAAGUCGAUGGGGAAGUGGUGCUUGCACCAUGGUAACCAUGGCGGACGGGUGAGUAACGCGUAAGGAACUUGCCUGCGGGACUGGGAUAACAGCAGGAAACUGCUGAUAAUACCGGAUAAGGUCAUUAAGCUGCAUAGCUUAGUGAUGAAAGGAGACGCCUGCGGAGAGCCUUGUGUCCUAUUAGCUAGUUGGAGGGGUAACGGCCCACCAAGGCGAAGAUAGGUAGCCGGCCUGAGAGGGUGGACGGCCACAAGGGGACUGAGAUACGGCCCUUACUCCUACGGGAGGCAGCAGUGGGGAAUAUUGGACAAUGGGGGCAACCCUGAUCCAGCAAUUCUGUGUGCACGAAGACGGUUUUCGGAUUGUAAAGUGCUUUCAGCAGGGAAGAAGGAAGUGACGGUACCUGCAGAAGAAGCGACGGCUAAAUACGUG